This 295-nucleotide ribosomal RNA is filed under the name uncultured bacterium. Its description in RNAcentral is "partial 16S ribosomal RNA". It matches the Rfam family "Bacterial small subunit ribosomal RNA", at positions 1076 to 1382 of the family's 1533-position model. The record is from RNAcentral.
CGGGUUAAGCCUUUAACCGACGCGCAACCCUCAUUGCAUGUUAAUUUUUUCUAUGCGAGACUGCCCUGGGUUACAGGGAGGAAGGUGGGGAUGACGUCAAGUCAGCAUGGCCCUUACACCUUGGGCUACACACGUGUUACAAUGGCCGGUACAAUAAGUCGCAAUACCGUAAGGUGGAGCUAAUCUAUGAAAACCGGUCCCAGUUCGGGAUUGGGGGCUGAAACUCGCCCCCAUGAAGUCGGAAUCGCUAGUAACCGUGAAUCAGCACGUCACGGUGAAUACGUUCCCGGGUCUU